GGGGUUGUGGCUCAGUGGUAGAGCACUUGCCUAGCACAAUCAGCCUGGGUUCGAUCCUCAGCACCA
RNAcentral lists this transfer RNA (66 nucleotides) under Urocitellus parryii (Arctic ground squirrel). Its description in RNAcentral is "Spermophilus parryii (Arctic ground squirrel) tRNA". It matches the Rfam family "tRNA". Rfam says of the family: Transfer RNA (tRNA) molecules are approximately 80 nucleotides in length. Their secondary structure includes four short double-helical elements and three loops (D, anti-codon, and T loops). RNAcentral also lists the same sequence under 1 other name. Lineage: Eukaryota; Metazoa; Chordata; Mammalia; Rodentia; Sciuridae. The record is from Rfam by way of RNAcentral.